UGGCGGCGAGAGCGCGGUGGUCCCACCUGACCCCAUGCCGAACUCAGAAGUGAAACGCCGUAGCGCCGAUGGUAGUGUGGGGCUUCCCCAUGCGAGAGUAGGGAACUGCCA
RNAcentral lists this ribosomal RNA (111 nucleotides) under Mixta theicola. The record is from RNAcentral. Lineage: Bacteria; Pseudomonadati; Pseudomonadota; Gammaproteobacteria; Enterobacterales; Erwiniaceae.